This 419-nucleotide ribosomal RNA is filed under the name uncultured archaeon. RNAcentral's name for it is "partial 16S ribosomal RNA". It matches the Rfam family "Archaeal small subunit ribosomal RNA", at positions 323 to 746 of the family's 1478-position model. The record is from RNAcentral.
CUACGGGGGGCACCAGGCGCGAAAACUUUACAAUGCAGGAAACUGUGAUAAGGGGACCCCGAGUGCUCGUACACGCGAGCUGUCCAGGUGUGUAAAAAGCAUCUGAAGAAAGGGCCGGGCAAGACCGGUGCCAGCCGCCGCGGUAAUACCGGCGGCUCGAGUGGUGACCACUAUUAUUGGGCUUAAAGCGUUCGUAGCUGGACUCUUAAGUCUCUUGGGAAAUCCGCCGGCUCAACCGGCGGGCGUCCAAGAGAUACUGGGAGUCUAGGAACCGGAAGAGGUAAGAGGUACUUCGGGGGUAGGAGUGAAAUCCUGUAAUCCUCGAGGGACCACCUAUGGCGAAGGCAUCUUACCAGGACGGCUUCGACAGUGAGGAACGAAAGCUGGGGGAGCGAACCGGAUUAGAUACCCGGGUAGUC